GAGGGUAUAGCUCUGUGGUAGAGCGCGUGCUUAGCACGCACGAGGUCCUGGGUUCAAUCCCCCAUACCUCCA
Molecule: transfer RNA, 72 nt
Filed under: Camelus bactrianus (Bactrian camel)
Lineage: Eukaryota; Metazoa; Chordata; Mammalia; Artiodactyla; Camelidae
Also listed under: 2 other names
Rfam family: tRNA
About the family: Transfer RNA (tRNA) molecules are approximately 80 nucleotides in length. Their secondary structure includes four short double-helical elements and three loops (D, anti-codon, and T loops).
Source: Rfam by way of RNAcentral